UCCUUUUUAAUAUAAACAGUAUAAUUGACUUCCAAUCAAUAAGUCUUGAACUACCUCAAGAAAGGAUA
Molecule: transfer RNA, 68 nt
Filed under: Neotetracus sinensis (Shrew gymnure)
Lineage: Eukaryota; Metazoa; Chordata; Mammalia; Eulipotyphla; Erinaceidae
Description: tRNA-Gly
Source: RNAcentral